This is a non-coding RNA of Sebastes umbrosus (honeycomb rockfish), 570 nucleotides long. Lineage: Eukaryota; Metazoa; Chordata; Actinopteri; Perciformes; Sebastidae. The record is from the annotation of a RefSeq genome assembly.
CUGUUAACCAGGAGGAAGUGGAACUGAGAGAAGGUCAAAUCCAGAUCUAAGAGGAGACGGAGAGAUUCAGGGAGGAGCUAAGAUGUUACUGAACUAUAGAAGAGAGAGGAACUUCUAUAUUCAGCAGAGUUCAAUACACAAACCAUCAACAUUACCUUCAUUCAACAUGCUCUCAUUGGACUGUUAUGGACUUUCUCUACUGUUUGUCACUAUUCUAACAGGUGUCAGCUGUGAAGAACUCACUACAGUCAAGAAUGAAGAGUCUAGUUUAGAAGACAGCACUGUUACUCUGUCCUACACAUACUCUAAACAACCAACUGGUAGUGAUUAUUUCUUCUGGUAUCGACAAUAUCCAGGAAAACCACCAGAGUUCAUCGUCUCACACUCUUCUUCAGGAGAAGUAGGAACUUUUAAAAUCCCUGGAAUGGAGAUUGAAGUGGAUCAGAAGCAAAUCAAUCUGAACAUCUCCUCUGCUGCAGUGUCAGACUCUGCUGUGUACUACUGUGCUGUGAAGCCCACAGUGACAGGAAACACCUAAACUCUGUACAAAAACCUUUGGAGCAAAGACAA